UUUCCCAGUUUUUAACUUGGGGAUGGUGCUUUCAUUACUUUCUUUUGUUACUUGCAUUAAGCCUUUCAACAACCCUGUCUGGUUGGGCUUUUUAUCCCUAUUUUAGAGGAAAUAAGUUUCCAGAAAGUGAUUGGCCCGGGGUCAGUUAGCCAGCAAUCACCCCAAUCUGUUCAACAAGGCCCAGGGUGAGGCCAGGAGUGUGACUUGUCUGGGGCUGAGCCAGGAGCUGGCUUCCAGCUGGCACCAUGGGCUCCUGUGGCCAGGUACUUGACAGGGCAGGGCAGGGGGUUAAACGGGUCUGAAACAUGUGUCCACAAAAAAUCUCCAAAUAUGUACAGGCCACCAUCUACCACAAAGGAGGGAUUUGAGAAUGUAGAGGAGAAGGACCUAAUAUUCAUUGAGCAUCCCUGUAAGCCAGGAGCUGGGCUUUGCGUGCAUUGCUUUAGUUUAAGUCCAAAAUAACAACAACGGUUUGACGAAGAUGUCAUUAAUCCCCAUCUGACUGUGGCAAGGUGAAAGGACUUCCUAGCCUCGCACAGCCAGGUCAGGUGGAGUCUCUUCUUUCUGACAUUUGCUCAAUACACCUAGGCCUUCCUCUGGCCUGGGAUGUGGAGCUUUCAUCCGCAAACUUGUCAAUCACUAGCGUUUGGGAAAAAUGAUCCAAACAAGAAAACCCUCACAAGUCUCACCAGGGUCAUUUUGUACAAAGUGAAACUCGGGAAAUUAAGAUGUCAUCGCACAGUCUUGCUGUUUCCACAGGCAAUGAUUGUAGCUACAAAUUUGUCCCAAAAUGCAGGCAAAUGGGCUUGGAGCAGUGAGGUCAUGAAGCUUAUUUACUGCUGCCAUGAUGAUAAUUUUAAUUUGCUAUUAAGAAAAUGAAGGGCUAGCAAGCGUUCAGGAUACAGAUGAUAUAGCAGUUUAGUUUUGGCUGUUCAGAGACUGGGAUGCAGGAACCUGAAAGAGAACCAGUGUGAGGUGGGAAAAGGAGAAUAGGCCUUACCAUCAAACUAGGAUUUAAUCUCUGCUCCACAAUUUCCUGGCUGUGUUACCUUCAGUACACGACGCCACCUCUCUGAGCCUCAGUCUCCUUAUCUGCAUCUCCUUAUCUGAAUCAUAACACCUACCUACUAGGUACAUUGGGUGGACUUCCAAAGAUGCUGGAUGUAAAGCUCCCAUAAAUGUUGGAUAUUAUUACUGUCAUUAUUAUUUAAAUAUACACUUAUGGAGUCACCAACAGAGCCAACCAUUUGACUUCCUGCCACUAAAAUAGCCAGAGGCCUGGCUGCACUGCUUAAUUUCAUCAAGAUGGUCUGGUGAGUCACAGCCUUAAUUAACUUUCCCAUGGUUUGAUCAGAGCAGAAAUCAGACUCUUGCAUUUCACCCACUCUUCCUGGCUCCAAAAAAGAUGGACGUGCACAUCCUUAUCCACCAUUCUGACUGUACAAAGACAAGAAAAUUAUCCAGUAGACACAGGAGUGCACGCACAGCCAGCCUGCAAGGCCACAGAGACAUCGCCACAGAGCAUUAGAGCAAGAGCCUGGAACCUAAUGAAAUUAUCUUCCCUCAGCCGAUCUGCCUGCCGCAGCUGCAAAUUGGGUCCCCUGUUUGUGUGCUUAUUCAACUGUGACCCCGUAGCCCUGGCAGGAUGAAUGGGGCCUCACAACCGAGGGUGGGGCGUCAGCCCAGGGGUGUCUUCCUUUAUGCAAAGCUCUUCUUUGAGGGGCUAUGGACAAACCACAUGGCUGGAGGUGAGCUUCAGAUCUGGGCUGCUUCCUGGACACAGAAAAUAAAGCAGGACAGGAGAUGCAGAGAGCAUGGAAUGCUCUUCACUACAGGCUCCGUGGAAGGAACUCGCAUCAGGCCAGCUGAGAAAGCCAGUUUGACAUUCACCUGUGGCAGACCUGGGUUUUGACUGAACCGCUUGCUCCUUGAGGCCCGAGGCCCUGAGGACUCAUCUCUAUAGCCCCUGCAUCUGGCCAGGACUUGGUUGCAGUAGAAAUGACUUCUGGCAACUGACAGGCUCCACGUUGAGUGUUCACACUGUGCCCAAUUCUGCCCUGAGCACUUUGCUUGGUUUCUCCACAACAAUAUUGUGAUCAGUAUAAUUACUGUUAUUCCCAUUUUAUAGAUGAGAAAAAUAGUAAUGGAGGAAAUGGAAGGAAAAAGGAUGGCCAUAAGUUGGAGGCAGGUGAAAGACCCAAAUUCAUGGAAGAGAAGUGAGUCACACAGGGAGCCAGUGGCAGAGCCACACCCCACAGAGCAAUCAACAUGCUCUACUCUGCAGACCUGCAACAGGGAGGGAAGCCAGACUCUGAUGCAAGAAGGAAAGACCAUGUGCUGGCUCAGUGUGUGCAGCCUGGACUGAGCUACUGAACUCUAAAUCCAAGGAUGACUAAUAGGCAGAAUGACAUUAAUACCAGACCUGAUGAAGACAGCACAAAAAGUAAAUCUCAACACAACCUCACAAUAUUAAUAAAGCAAAAAUUUUAAAUACA
RNAcentral lists this long non-coding RNA (2495 nucleotides) under Homo sapiens (human). Its description in RNAcentral is "HSALNT0331153". The record is from RNAcentral. Lineage: Eukaryota; Metazoa; Chordata; Mammalia; Primates; Hominidae.